CAGUUCUACCUUCGAAAUACGACCUGCACUGCUGCCAACCUCCACCCACCGCCGCCUCCAGUUUGGAUGGUCCUGUGACAAAGCAAAGGACCCAGUCCACUCUGCUGGUGGAUUCCUGACCUACAGAACGCCUGGAGUCCGUCUCAGAAGCAGCCCCAAUCUAACCAGACCGGCCGAAGGUAA
Long non-coding RNA from Lutra lutra (Eurasian river otter), 183 nucleotides. RefSeq lists it as uncharacterized. The record is from RefSeq and is a predicted model, not a curated record. The transcript has 3 exons. NCBI's taxonomy places the organism in Eukaryota, Metazoa, Chordata, Mammalia, Carnivora, Mustelidae.